This 59-nucleotide transfer RNA is filed under the name Proasellus cavaticus. RNAcentral describes it as "transfert RNA-T(ACA)". Lineage: Eukaryota; Metazoa; Arthropoda; Malacostraca; Isopoda; Asellidae. The record is from RNAcentral.
GCCCGUAUAGUUUAAUAAAAAUUCUAGUUUUGUAAAUUAGGGAUGUGCACCUACGGGUA